Long non-coding RNA from Apis cerana (Asiatic honeybee), 1259 nucleotides. RefSeq lists it as uncharacterized. NCBI's taxonomy places the organism in Eukaryota, Metazoa, Arthropoda, Insecta, Hymenoptera, Apidae. The record is from RefSeq and is a predicted model, not a curated record.
UCCCUGAUGGAUUCAUAAAAAGUAAAAAGUAACAAGUGGCAGCAAUACCAGACCGAAAAUGUUGGAAUUACAAGAAUUGGCAGAUGGCAAAAUCUGAAAUAUGAAACACGCAAAACGAGCAAUUCGUUCUAUACUCUACACGUUCGUCCUCCAAUUAAUUCACACAACGGACUGUAUUUCCGUGUUGCAGACUGGCCAGAGAAAUCGUGACACGCGGCCUUAUCGGUUACUCCUGUUACCAUUACCGAUGGCAGCGCCACCAUCGCGGAUUAUUUGUUGCCGACAGUGAAUUCAUCAAGCGAUCCCCCCUCUCCCAAUGACCAAUCCGUUCGCACGGCCCAUUUGCGACACACGUGUACACACGCUCGAUACCGCAGCGCCAAUGCGAGUUCUCCUUCAACUAGAAGCGAAAAAGAUAAAUUAUUUGGCUCGAUCGGCGAAACGUGUUCGAAAACGUCGCGCUACGGUUUGUUUCCAAUCCGUCCAAUCGAUGGAACGGAGAGAAGAAAGCGAGUCUAAAGCUUGUGAUGUCGUAUCGAUGGUUUGUCGUGUGUCGAGUGUAAGAGUUAUUUUUUCGAAAAUAAAGAGGAGGGGAGAAUGGUGGUCGAAUCCAUCCGCGUAAAUCCCUCCGCGCCCCAUAAAGGUCUAACUCGUCGUUUAUCACGCGUUCGUUUCUCCGUUCAACCACGUUUUCGCUUGGCCCCUCUCUUUCCCCUCCCCCAGGGGAGAAAUAUCAACAGAAGCGGCGGGGAAAGUAUGCGUGUGAACGAAAAAAACCAAGUGCUUGUUCGCUUGUACGUUGUUCGUCUCGAUCCCUCCCUCGAGUUUCCUCACUGAUUUUCAUGGAUAUUCAGGGAUGUUCCUGAGGAGAUCAAACGUAACGUGAAUUUCGCAUCGCGCAUCUCUCGUGCGAAAUGCGUUUCUAAGAUAAAAUAGUCAGGAGUGAGAAAAAUCGCUGAAUUUUAUGAAAUAUCCCUUAAUAAUAUUCCAAGGAUCCAUGCAGUGUCCAAACUCUUUACGAAUAGAUAUUAAUUCAUCCAUUAUGCGUUUUUCAGUAUAAUGCGUUUAUAGAAACAGUAAAUAACUGAUGUCAUUAGUAAAUAUAGACAGCAUUCAGUGUAUCGAAAUCUUCCUAUUUUUGUGAAAUUAUCAUACGAAACAAUACUGUUGGAUACGAAUGAAUACUUUCUCACGAAGAACAUUAAUUGAUAUGUUAAAAAAGAUAUAAUGAUUCGAUUAAAAAAAAAAAAAAAAACAAA